UGGGCGUGUUUGUUACACCGUGCAAGCUUGGACUGGCUUGGCUUAAGUUUUAUCCCAUGUUUGUUUUACCCAGUUCUAAUUUUAAAUGGGAUUAGCUAAUACUGGGCCCACUAAAAACACCUCCUUAGGUGUUCUUAGCUAAACCCGUCUGGAGAGGAGGGACUAACAGUCCCGACGACCCAAGCAACUAGCAACCACACCCAAUCGCCCCACAACCAACGACCAACCAAGCAGCAGCCACAACCACCAUCCCCAACCACCAGAUACAACCACCCGCCAUGACCACCAACCACGACCACAAGCCACAGCCACC
This 313-nucleotide long non-coding RNA is filed under the name Prunus persica (peach). RNAcentral describes it as "long non-coding RNA (PPER_LNC001904)". The record is from RNAcentral. Lineage: Eukaryota; Viridiplantae; Streptophyta; Magnoliopsida; Rosales; Rosaceae.